RNAcentral lists this ribosomal RNA (383 nucleotides) under uncultured bacterium. Its description in RNAcentral is "bacterial SSU rRNA". It matches the Rfam family "Bacterial small subunit ribosomal RNA", at positions 30 to 417 of the family's 1533-position model. The record is from RNAcentral.
AUUGAACGCUGGCGGCAGGCCUAACGCAUGCAAGUCGAGCGUGAAAGUCCUUCGGGAUGAGUAAAGCGGCGGACGGGUGAGUAACGCGUAGGAAUCUACCUAAUAGUGGGGGAUAACGUUUCGAAAGGAACGCUAAUACCGCAUACGUUCUGAGGAAGAAAGCAGGGGAUCGCAAGACCUUGCGCUAUUAGAUGAGCCUGCGUCCGAUUAGCUAGUUGGUGGGGUAAAGGCCUACCAAGGCGACGAUCGGUAACUGGUCUGAGAGGAUGAUCAGUCACACUGGAACUGAGACACGGUCCAGACUCCUACGGGAGGCGGCAGUGGGGAAUAUUGGACAAUGGGGGCAACCCUGAUCAGCCAUGCCGCGUGUGUGAAGAAAGGCC